Molecule: ribosomal RNA, 294 nt
Filed under: Chironominae sp. BOLD:ACG8642
Lineage: Eukaryota; Metazoa; Arthropoda; Insecta; Diptera; Chironomidae
Description: partial 18S small subunit ribosomal RNA
Rfam family: Eukaryotic small subunit ribosomal RNA
Source: RNAcentral
GUUGGUGCAUGGCCGUUCUUAGUUCGUGGAAUGAUUUGUCUGGUUAAUUCCGAUAACGAACGUGACUCAAUCAUAUUAACUAGAUACCUAUCAGCUGUUGAAAUGCUGAAGCUGUCAGCGCUGGUAUGCGGUGAGCAAUUAUCGUGUGCUUUGUGUUUGGCAGUGGAGUUUCACCUGAUAGUUUGGUCCUAGCUCUUUCAAGGGGCUAGUGGCUCUAUCUGCUUAAUAGGACAAUUUGUGUUUAGCAAAAUGAGAUUGAGCAAUAACAGGUCUGUGAUGCCCUUAGAUGGUCAU